Molecule: ribosomal RNA, 301 nt
Filed under: uncultured bacterium
Lineage: Bacteria
Description: partial 16S ribosomal RNA
Rfam family: Bacterial small subunit ribosomal RNA
Source: RNAcentral
CAGUAGCCACGGUAAUACGUAGGUGGCGAGCGUUGUCCGGAAUCAUUGGGCGUAAAGGGAGCGCAGGCGGGCCGGUAAGUCUUACUUAAAAGUGCGGGGCUCAACCCCGUGAUGGGAGAGAAACUAUCGGUCUUGAGUACAGGAGAGGAAAGCGGAAUUCCCAGUGUAGCGGUGAAAUGCGUAGAUAUUAAAAAGAAUACCGGUGGCGAAGGCGACUUACUGGGCUCAUUCUGACGCUGAGGAACGAAAGCGUGGGUAGCAAACAGGAUUAGAUACCCGUGUAGUCCCUGUCUCUUAUACA